Molecule: transfer RNA, 72 nt
Filed under: Ornithorhynchus anatinus (platypus)
Lineage: Eukaryota; Metazoa; Chordata; Mammalia; Monotremata; Ornithorhynchidae
Rfam family: tRNA
About the family: Transfer RNA (tRNA) molecules are approximately 80 nucleotides in length. Their secondary structure includes four short double-helical elements and three loops (D, anti-codon, and T loops).
Source: Rfam by way of RNAcentral
AGCAGUAUGGUCCAGUGGAUAGAACACAGACCUGGGAAUCUGAAGACCUGGGUUCUAAUCCCAGCUCUGCCA